UAAGGAAUAUUGCUCAAUGGGAGAAAUCCUGAAGCAGCAACGCCGCGUGGAGGAUGAAGGGUCUAUGACUUGUAAACUCCUGUAAAGAAGGAAAAAAUUCCCAUUAGAUGGGAGAUGAUGGUACUUCUGGAGUAAGCCCCGGCUAACUACGUGCCAGCAGCCGCGGUAAUACGUAGGGGGCAAGCGUUGUCCGGAUUUACUGGGUGUACAGGGUGCUCAGGCGGAUUUGUAAGUCAGAGGUGAAAUCUUACAGCUUAACUGUGAAACUGCCUUUGAUACUGCAAGCCUAGAGUAUGGAAGAGAGUGAUGGAAUAUCUGGUGUAGCAGUGAAAUGCGUAGAUAUCAGAUAGAACACCAAUGGCGAAGGCAGUCACUUGGUCCAUUACUGACGCUAAAGCACGAAAGCGUGGGUAGCAAACA
This 420-nucleotide ribosomal RNA is filed under the name uncultured bacterium. RNAcentral describes it as "bacterial SSU rRNA". It matches the Rfam family "Bacterial small subunit ribosomal RNA", at positions 355 to 774 of the family's 1533-position model. The record is from RNAcentral.